UUUUUUUUACAUUAAAAGGCAGUUAAUGCUACUAGGGUAGUUUUUCAUGUGAAAAGUUAUUAUUUACCCUUGAAAAAGGUAACUCCUCCUUAACUAUUGAGUUUGUCGAUUGAUUUGGUUAGUGAUUUUGAAAUUCGAAAUUAAAAUAGAGCCUACAUCCUUUUACCCUAGUUUUAUUGUGCCCACAUCCUUUUACCCGAUAAACGCCGUAGAAGUGCGAGGAAGACGAAGGCCACAGUAGACGACGACGGCGGGAGCGAAUUACAUCAGAGAAGCUCAAGGAAGACGACGAACUCGACGGCGACGGAAGCCAACAAACGGCCGAUUGCUGCCCAGAAACAAGCCGCGGAGGGUAAGCAAGUAAAAAUGUGGUGUUUUCUUUUUUGGAUCGGUGGAUUCAAGUAAAAGUGUGGUGUUUUCUUUUUCAAUGAAACUGUUAAUUUGCUUUUGUAUAACCUUCUCAAUCGCAUGUAUGGAUUCAAUGGAAUGUUUUGUUAUUUUUUAGGAAUUGAAGGAC
Molecule: long non-coding RNA, 517 nt
Filed under: Brassica napus (rape)
Lineage: Eukaryota; Viridiplantae; Streptophyta; Magnoliopsida; Brassicales; Brassicaceae
Description: long non-coding RNA (BNAP_LNC004482)
Source: RNAcentral